GGGUAUAACUCAGUGGUAGAGCACGUGCUUAGCAUGCACAAGGUCCUGGGUUCAAUCCCCAGUACUUCCA
RNAcentral lists this transfer RNA (70 nucleotides) under Camelus bactrianus (Bactrian camel). It matches the Rfam family "tRNA". Rfam says of the family: Transfer RNA (tRNA) molecules are approximately 80 nucleotides in length. The record is from Rfam by way of RNAcentral. RNAcentral also lists the same sequence under 1 other name. Lineage: Eukaryota; Metazoa; Chordata; Mammalia; Artiodactyla; Camelidae.